RNAcentral lists this ribosomal RNA (497 nucleotides) under uncultured bacterium. Its description in RNAcentral is "partial 16S ribosomal RNA". It matches the Rfam family "Bacterial small subunit ribosomal RNA", at positions 28 to 507 of the family's 1533-position model. The record is from RNAcentral.
GAUGAACGCUGGCGGCGUGCCUAAUACAUGCAAGUCGAGCGAACAGACGAGGAUCUUGCUCCUUUGACGUUAGCGGCGGACGGGUGAGUAACACGUGGAUAACCUACCUAAAAUACUGGGAGAACUUCGGGAAACCGGAUCUAAUACCGUAUAACAUGUUGAACCGCAUGGUUCAACAGUGAAAGACGGUCUUGCUGUCACUUAUAGAUGGUUCCGGGCCGCAUUAGCUAGUUGGUAAGGUAACGGCUUACCACGGCAACGAUGCGUAGCCGACCUGAGAGGGUGAUCGGCCACACGGGAACUGAGACAGGGUCCAGACUCCUACGGGAGGCCGCAGUAGGGAAUCUUACGCAAUGGGGGAAAGCCUGACGGAGCAACGCGGCGUGAGUGAAGAAGGUCUUCGGAUCGGAAAACUCUGUUAUUAGGGAAGAACAAAUGUGUAAGUAACUAUGCACGUCUUGACGGUACCGAGUCAGAAAGCCACGGCUAACUACGUG